Coffea arabica (coffee) is the source of this 5043-nucleotide non-coding RNA. NCBI's taxonomy places the organism in Eukaryota, Viridiplantae, Streptophyta, Magnoliopsida, Gentianales, Rubiaceae. The record is from RefSeq and is a predicted model, not a curated record.
UUUUUUUUUUUUUGGAAUUAAUUCUUAAGACUUAGCUCAAACCAUCUCCAACAACUUGAUAUUUCCCGUGGAGUUAGCAGCAACUAAGGUGGAGGAUGACUGACCACGCCAACACACAGAGGAGAUAAACUGUGCACUGUCGUCCACUUCAUCACCCGAAAGCGGAUCCGUGAUGUUAAAUUUAUAUGACAACGCAGGCAUGGGAAGAGCUUUGUGGUAUACAAAAACCUGCAACCAGAAAACCAAAGACAAAACUACAUUUACCAAUCACUGAACAGGUGAUCAUUCACUGCUGUACCAUAUAACAUACGAGUAAAUUGGCUUAAAAGAUUUUGUGAGGGACAGGAGGAAUAUGACAGAACAAACAUGGGAUGUAACAAACGACGGUAACUCCACCGCAGUAAUUCGACCUUUCGUAAUCAUCACAUAGAGCUGUGAAGGGGGAAGUGCCGGCAACAGAUGUGAACUCAAACUGACUUUUCAGGAACAAAGUAAAUGUGAACCGACCCUUCCAAGACCAGAAAAGGUAAUUAUGACUAGACAUUCUUGAGGCAUUUAGUAGCAUACAAAGCAGAGAAACUUUCAGUGCAAUGCAGAGUUUAAGGAAGAAAAACCAAGGACAAUCAUACAUAACUACAGCAGAAAUCAAAAUUAGAUCGUGUAAAUUGCUGUGCAAAGCAUGGGAUACCUCAUUUGUCUCUGAUCCCGUUGCAAUGUAACCAUCAGAUACAGAUAGGCCAACAAAGUUCUGCAACAAAGAUGUAUCCACAUUAAGGAUGAAAACCAUAGAUGUUUCUAUAAGCAGAAUUUGGGUUUUACCUCAACUUAAUGAUCAAGAUGCAUAUGCAACAAAAUGAAUCAAUGAAUAUGAAAAACUAGAGGGAGAACAGAAGGAGAGGGGGGGGGGUGUGUGUUAGGAGGCUAGGAGCAAUGCAUAUGCACAUUCUUCCUCUCUUUUCUAACAACCUUAUUUUCUUUGCUUAUUUUUUAAUAAUUUCAUUCCAAAUAACAUCAAUUGCUGAUAAAGACCACUCCCAAAACCUCAUCCAGACUUUAUUUUCUCAAUAUAGUUGGAAAAGAAGAUACUGAAUACAAAAGCUAUAUGUAUUUUGCCUCUCACAAUGAACUAAUCAUCUCAACAGGCCUUGGAAGGUAUAAUGAAAAAGAACUUGUAUGCAUUAUAGUAAUUCCACUGCUUAGAUGAGAUGAAAAUUGAAAGAACUGAAAAGAAUGUCCCGUUUGUAACCCUAAUGCCCAGUUUGGGAGAUGAGAUUUGAGCGGAAAAGAAACGAAGGGAAGAGAAAGGUAGCUAUUUCCCACGUUUGAGAGUUUUAGCGAAACAGAAAGGAAAAGAACCCAGCUGAUUUGGAAGGAAGAAGAUCUGCUACAGUUAAAAAAAAUUUUCCAUCCCAAAUCGGCCAGAAAGCAAAGGAAAGCUACGGAAAGGCUACAAAAAAAUUUUUAAAUUGCCCAUUCUAUCCUUGAGAAGCUAUUGAAUGGAAUAUUUAUUGACCAAUGCGUCCAAAAUCAUCUCCUUUCUUUUGUAAACUCCCAAACAACAUUAAAAUCUCCUCUCUUCUUUUCUUAUCGUUUCUUUUCUCUCAUAACUUAACCUUUCUCUUCUUUUCUUUUCUAUCCUGAACUCCCAAACUAGCUUUAAAUAAAGAUCAAUUAUCAAUGAUAGCAAAACUAAAUUUGUUAACACAUUUGCCUGACCUUAUCAUACUUUAUACCAUACAAUUUUAGUUAUAUAUCAAUUUCAAUGAGAAUACCAAAUGAAUUGAAAUGAUAUAGCAGACACUAAGUCAUGAUAUUUCUGUAGGGCCACUUUACUAAACAAAAUGGAAAAACUCAAUACAAAGACAGCAUAGUGGUAUUCAAUCAUCAGAAUUAACCUCUUUAACUGUCCCCAACUUACUCAACGUCCUGACUAAAAGACCAAGCUACAAUUUCUAAAAUGAUACACAAUAUCAAGCAAUAAAACAAAAAGCUCUACCUUCACAUUCAAGUGCCCAGUGAAUGACUGAAGGGGACAAUCAAGAACCCGAGCUGUGCACAUUGACAAGUCCCAGAGCUUCAAUGUGUUAUCUGUAGAUGCAGACACAAGUGUUGUCGAAUCUAUGAACUUAACAUAGCUCACAGUCUUGUUGUGUCCAAUCAACGUGCAGAGAGGCAUCUUAGAAUUGCGUAGAUCAUAAUAGUAUAUCUUAUGGUCUGCUGAUCCAAAUGCAAGGCGACGACUGGAUUCAAAUGGAAACUGAACACAACAGACAUUUGCCUUUGUCUUAAUGGUACCGAUGCUUACUCCCUGCAGUAGCAACCCAUGUAAGAAAAACAACUUAUUACACAUCAAGAACCCAACCUAUACAGCAAUAACAAUUAGAUGACUGUAGUACGUUUAGUUUCAAAGCUGACAUCCACCAAGUGCAAAAAUAGAAUUGCCUGAUUGAUAUUCCAGAGCUUAACAGAACCAUCAUCACUCCCGCUAGCCAGCAAUGUUGGAUCAGCUACUGAGUAGUCAACGGACCAGACACGGCUCUCAUGCUCGCUCAUUUCCAUAAAGAUUUGACUUCUUGUAACGUCCCAUACCUGAAAAUAUCUCAAGGAGACGAGCCAAUUUUUAAUUUUUUCUUAUUCUUAAAAAAAAAAAAAGAGUGGACAGGAGUUCAAGUCUCUUGAUUUACCUGAACCACACCUUCAAAGUUACUGGAAGCAAUCUGGCUCUUAAUAUACCCAUUCCAACAUAUACUGCUUAGCUUUGAUCUGCUAGCCAUUUCAACAACAGGAUAAUGGAUAUCACGGUCUUUGUUUAGAAUCGAAUUAUAUUCAAAGACUUUGAUCUUCUUAUUCACACCAGCAGUUGCAAAAAACUCUCCAUCACGAUCAAAACUCAGGGAGCAUACAAGGUUGGAAGAAUUUAAAAGAUCUCCCUGCUUCAAGUCUGCCUUCACCUUUAACUUGCUAAAUGACAAAUACUUGCACAGACCCUCAAGAAAUGAAUUUAUCCAUCCACUUUGUCUAUCCUCAUUAUAUUGUUCUUUUGAUGACAACUUACUGAGAGAACUUCUUUCAGUCACUACAACUGAUCCUCUUGCAUCGCUACUAAUUGGAGAACUUCUGGCAUAUACUUUUCCAGAUGGUUUGAGAGCCCGCCGCCUAGUUAAAAAGUAAGCUGACUCCAAUUUUCUAAAGUUUUUCAUGAGUCGGGAACUUUUAGAAAGAAUAGUUGCUUGGUUUUCUGGAACAGGAUCAUCAAGUUCCUCCGCAUUAUGGGUAUAAAGCCCAGGCCUGCAUCGUUUUCUCGACCCUGAGCUACCAGAAUCACCCUCAUCUACUGUAUUGGAUGAAGGGGGCCCUGAAGCUGAAUCCUUCGCCAGGUCUAUGCUUAUGCCUCCUUUUAUCCUAAGGGCAGUUUGCAAUUUUGUGACUUCUUCUAUAUCAGAAGUCAAAAAGGACACCAUUUCAUGCAAGUGAUCUGCUGCAUCCUGUUUCCUUUGCUUUAAUAGUAACAAAAAUUCCAGCAACAGCUCUUGUUCAUCUAUUUUUUCUCGAAGUUCUAUUGCUGCCUCACGCUCCUCAAUGUUGUCUCUUGGUUCAUUUAGAAAUUCGCUUUGCAACAACGCCCUGCAUCAUGUGAUUGAGUAUGGAAACGAGACAAAUAACCAAUUAUUGAAAGCAUAAAAUGUUGGGGAGAACCCAUCCAAAGGCACAAAGACAACCAAGGGAUGUACUUUGCAAUAAAAGCCAGGAGAGGUAGCAUCUCAAGUCUUGAGGGUAGCCUUAAAAUCUUAGUUACUAGCGUAGAAAUAGCCUGAGACUAAGUGGUAACAGUAGUGCUCAUGCACUUCUGAAUUACAAGCUUAAGCAUCAGUCAGACCAUAAAUUUAUGCUAGUGGCCUGUCCCUCUCCUUUCUCUAAAUCUUUUGGCAAUGUCUGAGGACUAAUACACAUCCAAAGCAGCAAAAUGCAACAGAAGGAAAGAACAAACUACUGCAAGACAUCACAAAAAUUUUAGUGAGAGAUUAAAGGUACGUUUCAAGUCCAGAAGCCAUAAUUGGCUUCACACUCUUCCAGGAAACCCAAUAUGACAUGUACUAGGGUUUCUGAAAAAGCAGAUUUUUGUAUGACGAGUCCAUUAGCACUAUAGAACACAACAUACUAAGAGUAUCCAUAUAUAUCCUUUUUAGAAGUUGGCUAUUAUGGCGGAUUACUUCAACCAGCAGAGAACAAAAACAUCUUUGGAACAGGUGAAGUUGAAAUGGUAAAAGUGCAGUAAAUCCCACCCCAUUUUUGGCCGACUACUUGGCUCAGGAUGCAGCAACCAUAGGCAAAAUGAUGCUUCUUUAGGCCACUUCAAAAGCAACUGAGGAGGGAGAACACGAUGUCUCAGACUAGACAUAGUUGCGCCUUUCUCUUCCACCGAGCUAAAUGUGCAGAACAACUGUUCAUCAGCAAAAUAUUUAUCAGAGAGGAAAGAGGAUCUCGGUAACUGAUACUAACCUCAAAGAGAAGAACCCCCAGUCGAUAAAUGUCUGAAGCACUGGAACUGGGGCCACCAGAAACUUCUUCUGGACUACUGUACCAAUUGGUUUCCAUCAACAAUAUAUGUUUCAUUGGGAAGGAAUGCUUCCUUUCUUCCGUCUGGUCAUCAUUUGGUGCAACCUCAGCCUGUCCGGCGCUUGACCUAAUGCAACUUGUUUCAGAUACUAUUCGAGAUGCAUUUAGGGGAUUCAUCUCAAGUUGCAAGCUUUCAGUAGCUAGCUGACUUCCUCGUUGGGGCAAGUCUGAAGGCAAAGGCGAAGACGCACCUUUAAACUCAGCCGUCUGGCUGUUUGUUCCUUCCUCAAACGAAUCUGAACCCGAAUCCGAGCAAGAAGCAGAUUCAAUGAAAGACACACGGUUAAGUGAGGACAUGACAAAGCAUGAGGGCCGCACAUUAUGGAGGAUUAUUCCCUGAGAAUGAGCCAGGUUAACUAUAUCUACAAUUUGAGUAAAUAUGUGUAAGCAUUCAAGAGCAUCAACAGUUCUUUCUGGGUUGUCCAA